This 503-nucleotide ribosomal RNA is filed under the name uncultured Actinomycetes bacterium. Its description in RNAcentral is "uncultured actinobacterium partial 16S ribosomal RNA". The record is from RNAcentral. Lineage: Bacteria; Bacillati; Actinomycetota; Actinomycetes.
GUACCGCGGCUGCUGGCACGUAGUUAGCCGGUGCUUCUUAUACAGGUACCGUCACAAAAGCUUCGUCCCUGUCGAAAGGAGUUUACAACCCGAAGGCCUUCAUCCCCCACGCGGCGUCGCUGCAUCAGGCUUCCGCCCAUUGUGCAAUAUUCCCCACUGCUGCCUCCCGUAGGAGUCUGGGCCGUAUCUCAGUCCCAAUGUGGCCGUACACCCUCUCAGGCCGGCUACCCGUCGACGCCUUGGUAGGCCAUUACCCCACCAACAAGCUGAUAGGCCGCGAGCUCAUCCCCAACCGCAAAAGCUUUCCAACAACCACACUAAAGAUUGUUCCUAUCCGGUAUUAGACCCAGUUUCCCAGGCUUAUCCCAAAGUUGAGGGCAGAUCACCCACGUGUUACUCACCCGUUCGCCACUCGAGUACCCCUAGCAAGCUAGAAGCCUUUCCGUUCGACUUGCAUGUGUUAAGCACGCCGCCAGCGUUCGUCCUGAGCCAUGAUCAAACUC